Molecule: long non-coding RNA, 601 nt
Organism: Oncorhynchus tshawytscha (Chinook salmon)
Lineage: Eukaryota; Metazoa; Chordata; Actinopteri; Salmoniformes; Salmonidae
Source: Ensembl
AGACAGAGAGAGAGACAGAGAGACAGAGAGAGAGAGAGAGACAGAGAGAGAGAGAGAGACACCAGAAGAAAAGAGACAGAUCACUUAAACCUGGUAAAGAGGGUGAUUCCAUCUCAAUAGUAUAAUGUUUAUUAUGUCUAUGUACAGGAGGUCAUAGUUCACAGAACAACCCAAUGGAAGUGGAACAACAGAAUAGAACACUUCUAUUGUGACAUCAUCGUAACAGAAUGACAGGAAGUUGAUGGAACAAUGACUAGAUAAUAAAGGGUUAAAAACAGACUGUUAAAAACUGGUAUUUAAUAUACACAAUUAGUACUCUUUAACAUGAUACACUGUAAUAAAAAUAAUAAUAAUAACAACUCAGGAUAAAUGAAUGUGUUCUCAGGAAUAUAUUACAGGAUGAUAAACUAGAUGAGAAUUCUAAAUAAAAAGGUAAAAAGCCUGGUGAUUGUUAGAAGACAAGUCAGCUUGAAACAUUGUUGAAUUGUUUUUGUAUCGAAAGAGAGAGAGAGAGAGAGGGAGGAGAGAGAGAGAGAGAGAGAGGGAGGUGAGAGAGAGAGAGAGAGAGAGAGAGAGGAGAGAGAGAGAGAGAGAGAGAGAG